This 246-nucleotide ribosomal RNA is filed under the name uncultured bacterium. Its description in RNAcentral is "partial small subunit ribosomal RNA". It matches the Rfam family "Bacterial small subunit ribosomal RNA", at positions 26 to 286 of the family's 1533-position model. The record is from RNAcentral.
AGAAUCAACGCUGGCGGCGUGCCUAACACAUGCAAGUCGAACGAGAAAGGGUAGCAAUACCUGAGUAAAGUGGCGCACGGGUGAGUAACACGUGACUAACCUACCCUGGAGUGGGGGAUAACUGAGGGAAACCUUAGCUAAUACCGCAUAACACCUACGGGUCAAAGGAGCAAUUCGCUUCAGGAGGGGGUCGCGGCCGAUUAGUUAGUUGGCGGGGUAAUGGCCCACCAAGACAGUGAUCGGUAU